UGGGUAGUUAGCUCAGUGGAAGAGCACUCUCCUCACACGUGAGUGGUCGCAGGUUCGAGUCCUGUACUACCCAA
RNAcentral lists this transfer RNA (74 nucleotides) under Endomicrobiia bacterium. Its description in RNAcentral is "tRNA-Val". It matches the Rfam family "tRNA". Rfam says of the family: Transfer RNA (tRNA) molecules are approximately 80 nucleotides in length. The record is from RNAcentral. Lineage: Bacteria; Pseudomonadati; Elusimicrobiota; Endomicrobiia.